This is a long non-coding RNA of Sorghum bicolor (sorghum), 104 nucleotides long. RefSeq lists it as uncharacterized. The record is from RefSeq and is a predicted model, not a curated record. Lineage: Eukaryota; Viridiplantae; Streptophyta; Magnoliopsida; Poales; Poaceae. The transcript is spliced from 4 exons.
CUGGAGAUGAGCGCUUGGGAGGCUGCUGCGGCCCCGGCGGUGAGGGUCUGGCUUGGUGGGGAAGGAGCAGGGAACGGAGGAGCAAGCAGCCAUGUUGGCCGCUG